GGGAUAGCUCAGUCGGUAGAGAUCAUGAGGAGUCAUGAUCUCAGGGUCGUGGGUCCGAUCCCCAUUUUGGGCA
Non-coding RNA from Podarcis lilfordi (Lilford's wall lizard), 73 nucleotides. The record is from the annotation of a GenBank genome assembly. NCBI's taxonomy places the organism in Eukaryota, Metazoa, Chordata, Lepidosauria, Squamata, Lacertidae.